RNAcentral lists this long non-coding RNA (4350 nucleotides) under Sus scrofa (pig). RNAcentral's name for it is "lncRNA (ENSSSCG00030018921.1)". Lineage: Eukaryota; Metazoa; Chordata; Mammalia; Artiodactyla; Suidae. The record is from RNAcentral.
UAGAGAUUCUCGUACUAAGUGAAGUAAGUCGGAAAGACAAAAUUCCAUGAUAUCACUUACAUGGGGAAUCCAAAAUAUGGCACAAAUGAACCUAUCUGUAAAACAGAGACAGACUCGCAGACGUAGAGAACAGACUUGUGGCUGCCAAGGAGGGGGGAGGAAGUGGGAUGGACUAGAAGUUUGGGAUUAGUAGAUACAAACUAUUACAUUUAGAAUGAAUAAGCAAUGAGACCCUACUGUAUAGCACAGGGAACUAUAUCCAGUCUCUUGGGAUAGACCAUGAUGGAAUAUAGCAUGAGAAAAAGAAUGUAUGUAUGUGUCUGUGUGUGUGUGUCUGUUAACCAACUGUCCCCAUCCAAAGUUAUUGCAACCACAUUCCUUGUGUAUAUGAUUACAUCCUUGUGACUUAUUAUAUAACUGGAGGUUUGUACCUCUCAAUACCUUCACCUGUUUCUCCCACCUCACCACCCCCUUCCUUCUGGCAUCUGCCAGUUUGUUCUCUGUAUCUAGGAAUCUGUUUUCAUUUUGCUGUUUGUUUAUUUGUUCUGUGGGUAGUGCAUCUCUAGACUUGCUUUUUACCGCAAACUGUGCUGCCCCUUGGCUAAUCUGCCCCUGGAACUCAGAAAAGUGUUGGAGGUUGGUCUCUUAGAGCAAUUGCUGGGUCCAGAGGCUCACUGUGAUGCAAGGACAGAGGAAGAGGCAUCAUGACACAAGUCAUUCUUUACAAAAGAGAGCAACCUGAGAUCACCACCCUCUUGAGAAAUUGGAGGAGUCACCUCCCAGAGUGGGUGGGUGCUCUGAGACCCUGGAAGUUUCCUUCCUAAAGGCUGCCACACACAGAGCUACAUAGAGCAUAGGGGAAAGAUUUGCUCAUUAAGAGACACCAAGUGUGAAGCAGCCACACCCAUCCUACCAAGACCUUCACAAGAAGAGAAGGGAAAGUGUCUCCAACUUCCUCUAGUAGCUCCUGAGUCAUGCUAGUCUUGUAUUUGGUUGAUAUUCCUGUUAUUUGUUUAUUUGCUUGUAUUCUAUUAUAUUCUUCAAAUGAACUAGAUGUUGUUCACAAAGACAGUCAGAUUAUGGCAAAAUGACAUUAAAAAAAAAAAAAACAAAAAACAAAAACCUCCAAAAAAUGAGGCACGGGAGAUGGAAGAAUAGGAAAGCUUUCUAACAGCCAAGGCAAAGGAAAGCACAAUAAAUGGCAUGAGUGACAGCACAACAGAUAAAAACAAACAGGAGCUGAGUUGGCACAAGCUCACAUUGUGAGGCAAGGAUGCAAGGGCACAGGCAGAAGCACAGUAGGAAACAUACCAAGACACCAAAAUUGGGUCACAUCCUCGGAGUGAUGCUCCUCCUGGAUUCUCCCUCAAAGAGAACCUUCAUCAGGCCCCAGCUGUCAACCUCAGUAGCACCUUGUAUCAAAAUGAAAUCCUUCUCCAUCCUCCCACCCGCUGAGGAUUUCUCUCUUUUCUGCUUAGACUGAGGGUGCACCUCCUUUCUAUUCUGCUGAAGCUGUUGUACAGAGCCUGCCUGAUGCUCUCCAGAUAUUCAGCUCUUGGAUGAAUUGGCUUAACCUGGGUCAGUGUAAGGGAUUCAGAGCAAUGUAUUUCCAUGGCAGAGACUACUCUGAGUUCACCAGAGCCUGUUUCCUUCCCUCCUGGGUAUAUAUGUACUUUUCCCAGACUCCUGUGCAGCCAGGCAUGUUCUUAACCCUGAGCUUGAAUAGAAGUGAUGUGGGUCACUCCUGAGCUGAAAUGGUUGAGAAAUAAAUGCAUUCUCUCCACGAUCCCUUUCCCCAUCUGCUGAGUAAAAGGAAAAGACUGUAAGGACCAGAAGAAAGGGAGCCACCAGAAGGACUGCAGAGGGUUGGGUAGCAGGAUGCCCAGCCAGAAAACGUUCACUGGACCGUGAUGGGAAAAAGGAACCCACUUGUAUUGUGUCAAGCCACUGAGAUUUCCAGAUUUAUCUGUUCGAGUAGGUAGCAUCAUUUUAACGAACACAGUUCCCCUUGGGAAAUGCUCUUCAAACGCAAUUCCUCUCAACCAAAACGAAAGGUUUGAGUGACACCAAGUUCAAGGUUACAUUCCCUGACAACUAAGAGUGCAAAUAUUCUCUGUUGCAAGGAAGUGGUAGGUGUAAAACGCUAUGUUUUAAUAGUCACCCAAAGUGGGAGUAAGAUUAACACACUCUUGUCAAAAUUGUGUCACCUUACAGGAACUCCUGCCUGAAUAGAGGGUGCUUGUAUCUCCUUUUGGCAAUAAGCCAGGAGGUGCCUGUGGGUAGGGCCAAGAUUCGCCUCAGAAAGUCCUUCUGGCUUUGCCUUAACACAGGGAAAAAAUGGUAAUCAAGGCCACAGUUUCAUACAAUGGAAUCUGCUACAGUAACUGUAACUUGAAAACAUUGUUAAACAACUAUAACCCUCUGUUGCUGCUUAAAAGUUAAAAAAAAAAAAAACAAACUUGGACAGCGAACUUGGGCAACACCCCCUCUCAUCCUGGGCUAUAGUUUCCAGACGUGACAGAUGACAACUGGAUGGGAUGGGCCAAAACCGAAAUUUAUAACCACUGUGUAUGAUGCCAAACAAAAACUCUCUAGUAUGCCGCUAGUAAAUACUAUUUACAUUCUGGUACAGAUCUGUAGCAUGUCACUAGUAAAUCCAGUUCUGUUCCAUCAGCUAAGUGAGCAGAACAAGCACACCAGGUACCAUAUCCAUCCUACUAGUGAGAUACAGUAUUCCUGGACCAGGUCCUGGAGCCUAACACCAGGAUGGAAAGGUAGCUGACAACACUCAGAACCGUCCCACCCAGAGCAUGUGCAGCAGUGCUCAGUGAUCGUGUCGCCAUCACAUGAGAUGUUAAGGGAAGAUCCAGGUUUGUGAGCCUUGCUGGUGUGCAGGGCGACUUUGCUCCUGAUGGGCACUUGGUGUUGAAUUGUCUGCAGAGAUUGGCAGUUUGCCCAGGAAUGAGCUCCCGGGUUCUCCAGAUUCAGUGGUCAGACAGAGCAAAAUCAUUGAAAUAGCCAAGUGAUGAGACGGAGUUAGGCUCCGUGCAGGGCUGGUGCCCCUGCAGUGUGGCCUGUGCAGCCAAUAUCCACCCAAGGGACACAACUGCCCUUAAUUUCCAACUUCACCCAGGCCACAUGGGAUCUGACUCCUUUGUCCCUAAAGCAGGUAAAGCCAAACUCUGGCUAAAGGAUGAAAAACUCACACCGAAGAACCCCAGAUAUGAUUUUUAAAAAACUCUCAUUUGAUGUCCUAAAUCAUCCUGGAAUCAAGCUCUAAGAUUUUCCCUUUUCUGAGAAGGUGGCGGCAGGGGUGGGGGGGAGAACAUGAGCUGAUAUUCCCCCAAGGAAAACUGGGGUCCUUGGGUCUGUGGGGUUUAUAGUCCAAAGUGUCUUUUACCCAAACCCAAGCAGUGACCUGGGGGUGCUGUGAGAGGGAGGGGCUUUGUUGCUUCUUGACUCAUGGAUUGUCCAUCCUUCUCCACUGGCAGGACCUUGGAGGAGGCAGGUGGGUCCUGUUAUGAGGUUGCUCCAGGAAACCACUGGGCAGAGCCUCUCAAACUUUCAGUGUUACUUAUGAAACACCUGGGCAUCAAGAUUCUGCAUUUGUAGCCAACCUCCAGGUGAGGGUGAUGGUGCCCUGGAGUCCCUACUCUGAGUAGGAGGGUCCAGAGGAUGGUGCCAUGUAUAGAAUGAUGUUUGGACGAACAGUGCUGUGUGCAGCGCCCCAGAGCCUGUCAUAGAGGCUCGAGGGGUCUGUGGUGGGAAGGGUCUGAGUGAGGAGAAGGGAUCCAGGAGAAUGGCUCUCCAGGGUCUGUGAAGAGCACCCCUCCUGGCCUUCCUUCCACUUACCUUGACUUUGUGCUUCGUGUCUUUGCUUUUACAAAUUUGGAGGGGCCUCAUUAUACCUUACAUCUGAGCUAGGCAUUUAUACCAAUCUGAGAAUGUAAUCAGGCUGGCGGAAGGCCCCAGGGCUGGUCCACAUCCUCAGCUCCUUGCUGCCUCUCGAGCAUCUCAGGUCAAGCCCAGCUCAGCCUUGUUCUCCCCAUCCUCCUGGGAUGCUGAGGAGGAGGACGCCUCCACUCUUGAACAGGCUUGGCUUCUCGCAUCCUGACACGUGCAUGUUUUCUGUUUUAUAAGAAGAAAUGUGUCUUGGCUGGAGGCCCACGUUUCGUUCCAGCACAUCUUUUUUACCAAAAGAGCCGUCCCUGGAGCUGCCAACAGUGUUUAUGAGAAAGCCAUCCAACAAUACUUUGGAUCUGGGAGUGUGGCCUGACCACAGACAUGGCCUUCCCCACCCUGAGAACCAUCCAUCAGAAAGCCUGGCACAUGGUGUAGUGUCUUUAUUUU